Molecule: transfer RNA, 72 nt
Filed under: Cordylochernes scorpioides
Lineage: Eukaryota; Metazoa; Arthropoda; Arachnida; Pseudoscorpiones; Chernetidae
Description: tRNA-Gly
Source: RNAcentral
UGCAUCGGCCGGGAAUCGAACCCGGGUCGCCCGCGUGGCAGGCGAGAAUUCUCGCCACUGAACAACCGAUGC